AUGAACUCUCUUUCUCUCUCUUUUAUUCCCUACUGUUUCAAGCUGAGACUUCUUAGAUCACUCACUGUCACAACUUUUUUCUUCGCUUUCUCUCUCUUCAAGUCUGUUUUGAGUUUUGACAAAUUUUUAUAUUUUGUUGGGUUUUCUUUUUUAUUCUUCUUUGUAAAACUCUUUGAGACGAGUUCAAAAUAUUUUCUUUGGUUUGUUGAGACUCUUCUUCCUCAACAUGGUUAAGAUUUCAGUUUCUCUUCACAUUUCUGUGGUUGGUUCUUGCCAAAAACCGGCUCUAUUGUGAUGCUACUGUUUCUGGGCUCUCUUUUUUGAGAGAGCCUUUCAAAGCUUUCCUUUUUUUUUUUUUUUUUGGUAAAGGGUAGUUAGGUUGGUAACCAGAGUUGAAGCUGGCUUGAGAAGCCAUUUCAGUGAUAUCGAGCUUGCUUGGUAGCAGUGCUUUUUUUUUGGUAUUGGUAUCAAGAUUUCACGGGGUUGCGCUUUUGAAAAACGUUCUGAAAGUUUGGAUCUGUGAGGCAGAUUUUGAGAGCCAUUUUCUUUUUUUUUCAUUUCACCAUCUUGAUCAUCAUCAGCUAGAGAAAAUAGAAGACAAGAAACCAAAAAAAAACCACCUACUCGGCUUUUACUUGAGGCUGUCUCAAAUCGAAACUCCUCAUUUUAGCUUCUUUUUCAUGCUCUCUCUUUUGUUUCAUAUAUCAUAAUAAAGGACGGACUUUACUAAGAAACAAAAGAAUCUUAGUUCUGAAGCCAAAUCCUCCAAAACAAGCAGCUCUUUUAUCACUCAGCUCACAGCUUAUUUCCUUCUGUCACUCAUUCUCUCUCUCUCUCUCUUUCUCUCUCUCUCUCUCUGAUCACUUCUUCAUAUAUAAACAAAGCUUGGUUCUUGUAAUCUUGGUUUUGGCAAGAAAUGGCUAUGGCGUUGGCCCAACACAGGGAUAGCAGUAGUGGCAGUAGCAUCAACAAACAUCUUGAUGCUGGCAAGUAUGUUAGGUACACAGCUGAGCAAGUUGAAGCUUUGGAACGAGUCUAUGCUGAGUGCCCCAAGCCAAGUUCCUUGCGUAGGCAACAGUUGAUAAGGGAGUGCCCCAUUCUUUCUCAUAUUGAACCUAAACAGAUCAAAGUUUGGUUUCAAAAUCGCAGGUGUAGAGAAAAGCAAAGAAAAGAGUCUUCAAGGCUGCAGACUGUAAAUAGAAAAUUAACAGCAAUGAACAAGCUGUUGAUGGAGGAGAAUGAUCGGUUGCAAAAGCAGGUGUCUCAGCUGGUUUGCGAGAAUGGAUAUAUGAGGCAACAACUGCAUACUGUCAAUGCAUCAGCAACUGAUGCAAGCUGUGACUCUGUGGUUACCACUCCUCAGCAUUCACUGAGAGAUGCCAAUAACCCUGCUGGACUCCUCUCCAUUGCAGAGGAGACCUUGGCAGAGUUCCUUUCCAAGGCUACGGGAACUGCUGUCGAUUGGGUCCAGAUGCCUGGGAUGAAGCCUGGUCCGGAUUCGGUUGGGAUAUUUGCCAUUUCCCAAAGUUGUAGUGGAGUGGCAGCUCGAGCCUGCGGUCUUGUAAGUUUAGAACCUACUAAGAUUGCGGAGAUUCUUAAAGAUCGUCCAUCUUGGUUCCGGGACUGCCGUAACCUUGAAGUUUUCACCAUGUUUCCUGCUGGCAAUGGCGGAACAAUUGAGCUUGUAUACACACAGACAUUCGCACCAACUACGCUGGCUCCUGCAAGAGACUUUUGGACUCUAAGAUACACUACAACUUUAGAGAACGGCAGUCUCGUGGUCUGUGAGAGGUCUCUUUCUGGUUCUGGUGCUGGCCCAAGUGCAGCUGCUGCUGCUCAAUUUGUGAGAGCUGAAGUGCUUCCUAGUGGCUAUUUGAUUAGGCCUUGUGAGGGUGGAGGGUCAAUCAUCCAUAUUGUUGACCACCUGAAUCUUGAGGCAUGGAGUGUGCCAGAGGUGCUGCGCUCACUUUAUGAAUCAUCAAAAGUAAUUGCUCAGAAAAUGACGAUUGCGGCACUGCGCUACGUCAGGCAGAUUGCUCAGGAGACAAGUGGUGAGGUGGUAUACAGUCUGGGCAGGCAGCCAGCUGUCCUGAGAACUUUUAGCCAAAGAUUAAGCAGAGGCUUUAAUGACGCAAUAAAUGGAUUCAAUGAUGAUGGAUGGUCAAUAAUGAAUUGUGAUGGUACUGAGGAUGUGAUAAUUGCUGUCAAUUCAAGCAAGCGCUUGAGCAGCACUUCAAAUCCUGCCAACGCUCUUUCGUUCCUUGGGGGUGUUCUUUGUGCAAAGGCGUCCAUGCUGCUUCAAAAUGUUCCUCCUGCUGUGCUUGUCCGUUUCCUGAGGGAGCACCGCUCUGAGUGGGCUGAUUUCAAUGUUGAUGCUUAUUCUGCUGCAUCAUUGAAGGCUGGAACAUAUGCUUAUCCUGGAAUGAGACCUACGAGGUUUACUGGGAGUCAGAUCAUCAUGCCACUUGGCCACACAAUUGAAAAUGAAGAGCUGCUCGAAGUUAUAAGACUUGAAGGCCAUUCUCUUGUACAAGAAGAUGCCUUUUUAUCAAGGGAUGUUCAUCUAUUGCAGAUAUGCUGUGGAAUUGACGAGAAUGCUGUUGGAGCCUGUUCAGAGCUUGUCUUUGCUCCUAUUGAUGAGAUGUUUCCGGAUGAUGCUCCCCUACUACCUUCUGGAUUCCGCAUUAUUCCAUUGGAGUCAAAACCAUCUGAUACACAGGAUUCAUUGACUACAAAUCGGACUCUGGAUCUCACUUCUAGUCUUGAAGUGGGGCCUGCAACAAACCAUUCUGCAGGAGAUGCUCUAUCAUGUCAGAACACAAGAUCGGUGUUGACAAUUGCCUUCCAAUUUCCCUUUGAUAGCAAUCUUCAGGACAAUGUUGCAAACAUGGCACGCCAGUACGUCCGAAGUGUCAUUUCUUCCUUCCAGAGGGUUGCCAUGGCCAUAUCUCCAUCUGGAUUGAGCCCAGCUGUAGGACCAAAGCUAUCUCCAGGCUCUCCAGAAGCACUUACACUGGCUCACUGGAUCUGCCAGAGCUACAGUUACCAUUUAGGGGCAGAAUUGUUGAGAUCUGAAUCACUUGGUGGUGACUCAAUAUUGAAGAAUCUCUGGCACCAUCAGGAUGCCAUAUUGUGUUGUUCGGUGAAGUCGCUACCAGUUUUCAUUUUUGCAAAUCAAGCUGGGCUUGACAUGCUUGAGACAACCCUAGUGGCUCUACAAGACAUCACACUGGAUAAAAUAUUUGAUGAGUCCGGACGCAAGGGAUUGUGCUCCGAUUUUGCCAAGUUGAUGCAGGAGGGAUUUGCUUACUUGCCGGCUGGAAUCUGCAUGUCAACGAUGGGACGCCAUGCCUCGUAUGAACAAGCUGUUGCUUGGAAAGUCCUUGAAGCCGAUGAGAGCACUGUCCACUGCCUGGCCUUCUCUUUUGUAAACUGGUCUUUUGUGUGAAAACAUUUUGCUAUAAUUUAUUUGUCCGACACCCCAGGUUUUCCUCAAGCUGAAUGGAAAUGAUGAACAAAUCGAGGAAAGGGGGAGAUGUAAAAUGAAAUGAAGAACUGAGUUUUGUAAUAUUCAAGCACCCAGUUCAGGAAUAAUGAGGGAUCUGAAAAGAGGCACCUACCCCACCCCCAUAGGUCGGCAGGUCAUAUGGCAGUGAUGGGUUCAACCCAAAAUUCACUGCAGUGAAUUUUUUUCUAGGACUUGAUGUUUCCUGUAUUAAUAGGGAUGCUGUUGAGUGAAUAUUGGUUACAGUUAUAGGCCAGCAGAAUGCUGUGUUGUGAGGGCAGCAAUCAGAGCAGCAGCAGCAGAGAUGUUGACACCAAGUGGGGCCGUGUGUUGUGUAGUGUAAACUGUAUGAUAGCACUCCGCAGUAUGAAUUGUCUCUGGAUUUGACUCAUAUUCACCCAGUUUGGUUUGGCCGACUAUGUCUAUGCUAUUACCGUAGCACUAGACAGUGGCUGACCAUUUAAAGAUGAGCUGUAAAAAAAUUUCCCC
Durio zibethinus is the source of this 3994-nucleotide non-coding RNA. The record is from RefSeq and is a predicted model, not a curated record. NCBI's taxonomy places the organism in Eukaryota, Viridiplantae, Streptophyta, Magnoliopsida, Malvales, Malvaceae.